This 107-nucleotide small nuclear RNA is filed under the name Carlito syrichta (Philippine tarsier). The record is from RNAcentral. Lineage: Eukaryota; Metazoa; Chordata; Mammalia; Primates; Tarsiidae.
GUGCUCACUUACACAGCACAUAUACUAAAAUUGGAACAAUACAGAGAAGAUCAUCAUGGCCUCUGUACAAGGAUGACGCAGAAAUUCAUAAAGCAUUCCAUAUUUUU